RNAcentral lists this long non-coding RNA (275 nucleotides) under Sus scrofa (pig). RNAcentral describes it as "lncRNA (ENSSSCG00070013928.1)". The record is from RNAcentral. Lineage: Eukaryota; Metazoa; Chordata; Mammalia; Artiodactyla; Suidae.
UCAUGGCAGACAGCAGGAGCAAAGAGGUUGACUCAAAUUAUUCAAGCACAUUCAAAGCUUCCACUUGGAUAUGGUUUACGUAAUAUUUGCUCAUCUUCCAUCGGCAAAGGCAAGUCACGUGGCCAAGCCUCCCAGUGGGGCCAGGAAGUAUAUUCUGCCCACAGGCAAGCAGAGCAAAGGGCAGACCUCUUCCUGGAAUCAGUUCAGCUCUUAGAACCCCCCAUGGGUGGCUGAUGGACAAAGCAAUAAAGCUGACUGCAUCCUGCUCCUUCCCA